UACCAGGACCCCGAGUGGUCGGGACGUUUAUUGGGCCUAAAGCAUCCGUAGCCGGUUCUACAAGUCUUCCGUUAAAUCCAACUGCUUAACAGGUGGGCUGCGGAAGAUACUAUAGAGCUAGGAGGCGGGAGAGGCAAGCGGUACUCGAUGGGUAGGGGUAAAAUCCGUUGAUCCAUUGAAGACCACCAGUGGCGAAGGCGGCUUGCCAGAACGCGCUCGACGGUGAGGGAUGAAAGCUGGGGGAGCAAACCGG
Molecule: ribosomal RNA, 253 nt
Filed under: uncultured bacterium
Lineage: Bacteria
Description: partial 16S ribosomal RNA
Rfam family: Archaeal small subunit ribosomal RNA
Source: RNAcentral